Molecule: ribosomal RNA, 460 nt
Filed under: uncultured bacterium
Lineage: Bacteria
Description: partial 16S ribosomal RNA
Rfam family: Bacterial small subunit ribosomal RNA
Source: RNAcentral
CCUACGGGAGGCAGCAGUGAGGAAUAUUGGUCAAUGGACGCAAGUCUGAACCAGCCAUGCCGCGUGCAGGAAGACGGCUCUAUGAGUUUUAAACUGCUUUUGUACGAGGGUAAACGCAGAUACGCGUAUCUGUCUGAAAGUAUCUUACGAAUAAGGAUCGGCUAACUCCGUGCCAGCAGCCGCGGUAAUACGGAGGAUUCAAGCGUUAUCCGGAUUUAUUGGGUUUAAAGGGUGCGUAGGCGGUCGGAUAAGUUAGAGGUGAAAUCCCGAGGCUCAACUUCGGAAUUGCCUCUGAUACUGUCAGGCUAGAGAGUAGUUGCGGUAGGCGGAAUGUAUGGUGUAGCGGUGAAAUGCUUAGAGAUCAUACAGAACACCGAUUGCGAAGGCAGCUUACCAAGCUACUUCUGACGUUGAGGCACGAAAGCGUGGGGAGCAAACAGGAUUAGAUACCCUAGUAGUC